UGGGCGGUAUCCGAUUAUGGAGCUGCACCUUGUAUUGACGAAAUGUAAAAAAGCAGUCUGCCUUGAUCCGAAAAAAGAUGGACAGGGACAGAGGG
Bacillus gobiensis is the source of this 95-nucleotide regulatory RNA element. It matches the Rfam family "pan motif". NCBI's taxonomy places the organism in Bacteria, Bacillati, Bacillota, Bacilli, Caryophanales, Bacillaceae. The record is from Rfam.